Molecule: long non-coding RNA, 2314 nt
Organism: Gallus gallus (chicken)
Lineage: Eukaryota; Metazoa; Chordata; Aves; Galliformes; Phasianidae
Source: Ensembl
GUACGUGUGCAAGAGCGGCGGCGCGUGGGGCGGCCCCGUGGGCAACAGCGUGGGGCAACGCCGGGCCUCGGGGGGCAGAGCGGGUGGGGAGAGGAGGGAGGGGAGGGAGCGGCGGCGGCGGCUGCUGGGGGGAGCCAUGUGGGAGUCGAGUCCUACCUGGGAGCCGUGCCAACUUCCUGCAAAGGGUUACAGCCCCGCAGCUCCCAGAGCCCACCAGAGGCGAGUUGGCUCUUGUCACGCAUCCAAGGCGAGAGGAAGACAGCGGGAACGGAACAGUGAUUCUGCAUUUCCCUCAGUUGCUGGGAUGGCUUCGCAGCUCGCAGUCGCGGCUCUUUGCUCCCGGAUGGCAGAGGGGAAUGGAUUUCUGGUGACAUAAUGGGGAUCGGCUCUGCCGUGGGUCAGCAUUGGGGUGGUCUCACCUCUCGUGGAGGGAUUGCUGGACGUCUGGAGAGAUGCUGGGAGCGAGAGCAGGAGCGGGGGGAUCGCUGUCCUUGCAUAGAAAGGAGCCACUGAGCAGUCAGUUCCUGGAUAAGGAUCAUCUCAUUGCCCUAGAUGGCAAUGGUCCCAAGCUGUCCUUGAGGCUGAGGUAGUAGAUUGAAUAGUUGUGGAGUCCUAUCCUCCCUUUGAGCUAACUAUACAAUCUACUGUCUUUCCUAAGGAGACAGUCAGAUCUUCAGUUCGUCUGCUUGGACACAAAGCAUGGAGACAGGUGGUGCAAGAAAUCCUGCUCUUCCACAAAGCCAGGGAAUCACACCAGACCUCUGUACUGCUCUGUGGAGGUGAGGUAGUAGGUUGUAUAGUUUGGUGGGAGGGAUUCUGUCCCAUUUCAGGUGAUAACUAUACAGUCUAUUGCCUUCCUUAAAGAGCAGCAAUACCACCGGAGGAGAUGCUCAGCCACAGAGCUCCUAGAGCAAAAACAGCACAUGGCACCAUUGAACAACAAAGUGGGUCUUCUACAGCAUCCGGGGCUGUGUUAUUCCAGGGUCUGCUCCGUGCCUCAGUCAUACGAACAGGGAGCUACCUACAUAAAGAAAAACGUCUCUCUCAUUUUUAAUGGCUGCAAGAGAAACAAUGAAAUGAGCUGGCUUAGCCCGUGGGCUCAAAGCCCCGUGAGCUGAUCAGAUUUUGGCUGGUUGGCCCCUGGAAGUGCAUUCUGGUUUUGGCCAAGUUCCCAGCUCUCCCAUGGGACACAGUUAGAGGGUGGUUCUUUCUGAUUUGAUAAUCUCUAUCAACCCAACUCACAUGCAAACCCUGCUGGAGAGAUUAGGACUCCUAUAUAUUUACAUAGGAUAAGCCAGCAGUUCAGACCAGUGCCCCAUCCUACUCAGGAGACAGGUGUGAGAGAGAGAUGAGCCAAAGGCAGCAAGUCCUAACCUUCUUGUUCCUGCCAGGUAGGUGGCACUGACAUCUGACAGCACAUGACAGCCUGCUUCAGAGCCCUGGCACUUGACAAGGGACAGGGAAUGGUUAUUUCUUCCCUCUGUGAGAAGCAGAUGGGACGACCCCUCUGCCACAUUCCAGAGUAAAUAGAACCCAGAUCACAGGAGGGACUGUAACUCGAUGAGGGCUGCACCAGUUUCCCAAGGCUGAAGGAUGUCUCAGGACAUUAUCGCUGGCAUCUCAGUGCCAGGGAAACGUGUGAGAUCUGAGAUACUGAGGAGCAAGGGCAAACCAAGGGCACCUUCUCAGAUGAAUUGGGAGGGAGAGAGCUGCAAUGAGAAAUGGGAGCCCUCAAAUUUCACCCUGGAAGCGCAACAUGGGGCGACUCAGAGCUGGCUGAUCGGGCUAUGGGACUCCCAUCAGUGAAGCAGCUCAUUUAAGGCUUCUCUGCUUCUUGGGAUAGGGUGUAGCUUCAGGAAGGCUGGGAUGGACUUCCUGGGGCUGGGCAACAGCUGGAGGGUGGGGAUGCUGGAGUAUCUAGCAGCAGAGGAAUGCAGCCCUCUGCUCCAUACAUCUGGCUUACCAGGAGUCAUGGGGACCUGCCACACAAAGCUACAGCUCACUCCUCCUCUACACACUCUUACCCUCUAUGCACCUCCUCAGGGGAAGGGCUUCUACCCCCAGCAUUGCUCGGAAGGUACCAAAACAGCAGCACAGGUAUGGGAACAGGGCAGCACAUCGGCUUCAUGUUUAAGAGGUGUUCCCUGGAAAAGGAUUAAUCCUGUGGGUCCCAAACGAAAUCAGUUCCGUUCCCAUCCACUGCACUGAUGUUAAUGCAGAGCAUAUUAAACAGCAAAACGGUAUGAGAUGAAAACUAUGAAUAAAAUACCACUGGAGAUACUCUGCUGUGAAAAUAAACUUGCUUUGACUAUUG